Molecule: small RNA, 1734 nt
Filed under: Histoplasma capsulatum
Lineage: Eukaryota; Fungi; Ascomycota; Eurotiomycetes; Onygenales; Ajellomycetaceae
Also listed under: 1 other name
Description: hypothetical RNA
Source: RNAcentral
GCCGCGGUUGAAGCCAAAAUUCAAGUUGAGUAUAUUUUAGUUAACUAGUUAACUUGGGUGACUGUAUGGUCUCCUUACGUCAUCAUCAAGUAUUUUCUUGGGAGGAACAUGGGGGUUUCCAACGCCACCGUCCUCCCGUCCCGUAUAUAACCAGGGCCUGCUAAGCUGAGUUUCGACUAAGGAGCUUGGGGUGGUAGGUGCCAUGUGUGUUCGAGUUUUCCUUGAUUCAUGGCGGGGGUUUGCAAGGUACAGUGUGGGAUUUGUUUUUUUUAACUUUCCAAGGAGGACAAGAGCAAGAGCGAAGAAAGAAAAAAGAAUGAAGGAAGGAAGGGAAAAAGGCGGAAAGUAGAACUUCAAAGAACAAAACUGCCCAUGCACAUCUCUUUUAUGAGAGAAUCAGAUCCUACGGUGGUUGGGCAAAAGAUAUGGGCCUGUUUAGGGGUUGAAGUCCAAAGCUUGGCCGCUGAGCACUAAGCUAGUUUACAGGUAUCAGUCUGAUUCAUGGGAGCUCCUCUGCGCAUGGUUAUUUGUGUCACAAGUAACUACCACCUAUCAUUCUUCAUAAUAUCCAAGAAAUCGUCAAGAGAUAUUAGUAUAUAUAAACAGAUAAAAGUUUGAAUAUCUUGCCUCGGUUGUAUAUGGAUAUCAUAUAAUAACCUUGGAAAGGAUCAAGCCGUAUUUUGCUUGGUCUGCACCGCACCACAAUCCAAGAACAUGCACUGCGCCAGCAAUCCAAUUAAAUCGAGAAUAACAAUAGUAUUUCUUCCAAGUUUUUCCCGACCUACCACCUCCCUUCCCGUUUGAGAAAAAGGAAGAAGAAAAAAAGGGUAACUCUUCCCAUCCGGGGAGGUAUGUCCUGGACUUUACCGCACAUACUGCAACUGCAAGGUUACAAUGUACAGUACCUAAAGCUGAAACGGCAUUCCCUGGUCUGGUUGGUGCUAUAUUUUUUCGCUCUAUCUCAUACUCAGCCCAAGAGAGUUAUAGAAAGGCCAUGAAACACGCACACGCACACGCACACGCACACAAUCAACCCCCACCCCAACUCCUCCAAAUCCCAGCAGCGCGGGAUUCGGCCGGCAUCCUCAGGUAGACAUUGAGGAUCGGCCAGAAGCCGCAGGAGGCAGACCUGACGAGAGGGAAAUUGCAUCCGGCACUCUGGAAUUGGUGGGUCCCAAGUGAUUCUGGAAUUCAGCUGCUUUUUGUUCUCGUUCAGUCGGUCCAAUCUAUCCUGUUGAGGGGGCCUUGGGUAGGGUUUCUUGAUGAUGUAUGAUGUUUAGAAGAAGGAUGUAUCACCGGGGUGGUCAGAGCUGAAAUUGAGCUGCGCCAUUGUUCUAAAAGAGAGGGACGGGUGAGCGGGGGGUGUGACUUGGGUGGUUUGUGCUUGCAAUUUGUCCCUCUCUCUUGGCUUGGCUUUUCUUCUUCUUUCUUCUUCUUGUUCUGUUGCUUGCUGCUUCUUUGAGCGGAUAGGAGAGCAUGGUCAUGGGCGAUGAGCGUACUGUAAGUUUCUUUAGUUAGGUCGCUUCCACAACUUUUCUGUGUCUGUUUUUUGUCUCUUUCUUCCUUGAUAUAUGUUUCCUUAACUUUUUCGUUUUCCCCUCUUCACUGAGCGAACGGGCCAACUAGAUAGUUUGGUUGGUUGGCUCAGGUUGGUUGGUUUGGUUGGUUGGGGUUUCUGGUGUGGUGCCUCCAGUCAAAGGAUUUGGAUUGUUCUAGUUCUAGCACUGAGUGUGG